This 250-nucleotide ribosomal RNA is filed under the name uncultured bacterium. Its description in RNAcentral is "partial 16S ribosomal RNA". It matches the Rfam family "Bacterial small subunit ribosomal RNA", at positions 809 to 1058 of the family's 1533-position model. The record is from RNAcentral.
GUGGGUACUAGGUGUGGGUUUCCUUCCUUGGGAUCCGUGCCGUAGCUAACGCAUUAAGUACCCCGCCUGGGGAGUACGGUCGCAAGACUAAAACUCAAAGGAAUUGACGGGGGCCCGCACAAGCGGCGGAGCAUGUGGAUUAAUUCGAUGCAACGCGAAGAACCUUACCUGGGUUUGACAUGCACAGGACGUACCUAGAGAUAGGUAUUCCCUUGUGGCCUGUGUGCAGGUGGUGCAUGGCUGUCGUCAG